Ictalurus furcatus (blue catfish) is the source of this 2285-nucleotide long non-coding RNA. RefSeq lists it as uncharacterized. NCBI's taxonomy places the organism in Eukaryota, Metazoa, Chordata, Actinopteri, Siluriformes, Ictaluridae. The transcript is spliced from 3 exons. The record is from RefSeq and is a predicted model, not a curated record.
UUACCAAGACUUGGUCACAAUGUUGUCAAAAAGUAAUAUCACGCUGACAAAAAGAGACUCACUGGCGAUGUCAUCAGAUCAUAGUGUGCUUGCUGGGUUGUGUAUUAAUGGUCAACUUCAGGAAAACUCUGGAGGGUUCUCAUAUUACUGACAACAUUCAGCACCACUGAGGAGUAACCAAAUAAAAUGUGGCUUUUAAAUGUGCUUGCUGUUAUUAAUAUGCAUGCUGUACACUUCAAUCAGUAAUGAUCUUUUCUGUCUUACAGCUGCUUCAAGUAUUCAGAGUUCCGUGAAUACACCUUUAACAAAUACAACUUCAACAAACACAUCUUCAACCCUGAUUCCAACUAACUCCACAGUACAAGACGCCCUUGUUAAUGCGACUACCGCCAACUCAAGCUUGAACAUUAUUCCAAAUUCUGUCAGUUUCACCCGGGGUUUUGCUUGAACCAAUUUAUAGAUGAAUCUUCGAAACUUCAUCCGGAUGGUAAUUAAUGGUUUCAGGAGUGGCUCAACUGUCACAAAUUCCAGCCUUGAAUUUACUGCCAAUGCACCAUCCCAGCUGACUCCACAGUAAAAGACGUCCUUGUUAAUGCGACUAGCACCAACUCAAACUUGAACAUUAUUCCAAAUUCUAUAAAUGUCACCCAGGUUCCUGGUCAGUAUUCACUUUCACUGAUACUGCAUUUUAAUAACGUUUUGUACAUGUAAGUAUUCUAAUUCCUAUUUAACCUCUCAAUUAAUAGUGACAAACACAACUUAAAAAACAUAAAGGGAAUAUGGGGAAUUCCCUUUAUCACAGAAUAUAUAUAAGGGAUUAAAGGGAAUAUGGGGGAAAUGAUUCAUUCUUAUAAACACAGCUAUCUUCACAUGUACUAAUAUUUUGAAUUGUUGAAACUGGAGACUUAAUGAGGGUUCUGAUUUGCCUGAAAAUUUCCCCACAUUCUGACAGUCCUACUGUCUUUCUUUCACUUAUAUUUAAAUUCAUUGGAGAUUUUUUACAACCAUUUUAAAGUUAACAGUAUAAAUUAAUGUUGUACUGUACAGUAUAAUUUCACAACACUUAUCUGCAUACACAAACCUACAUAUAACUUCUUUAAAUCUGUGUACAAUGAUUAUAAACAUCGUAUGAAAUAAAGCUUUGCACAAUUCUUUAUACUUCAUGCAUAUAAUUUAAUCAUUUAAUGACAAUCACAACCAUAUGUGUUUUUUCCUGAAACUGUUGCCAAAAAUUGGCAAAAUUGUAUAGGAUUGUGUGCUGCGAAAAGGGCCGUUGUGGGUGCAAUCGAGAAAGAGCCACGACACCUGUUUAAUCAGUUUAUCUUCGCUUUUAAUAGACUACUAGGUGUGGUUUCUGUUUGGUUGGAAUUAAAACCUGCACCCACACCAGCCCUUUCUGGACAAGAUUGCUCACCCCUACUGUAGAAUGAAAAGAGACCCAAAACUCCAGCAUGACAGUGGCCCUGUGUACAAAGUGAGCUUCAUGGAUUGCCAUGCCAAAAGAACUUGAGCGGCCUGCACAGAGCCCUGACCUCAACCCCACUGAACACUGAAGGCCGACUGCACCUCAGGCCUCCGUGGCCGACAUCAGUGCCUGACCUCACUAAUGCUCUUGUGACUGAAUGAACACAAAUCCCUACAGUCACCCUCCAAAAUCUAGUGGAAAACCUUCCCAGAAGAGUGGAGGCUGUUAUGAAAGAGAGACCAACUUCAUGUUAAUGCCCAUGUUAAAUUAAAUAUAAAAUAACAAAAUUAAAUAAAACGUUAUCUUACUCAUGGCCAAAAUGUUUGGUUCCUAAAGUAAGAUAUCUGAAAAAAGUAACAUUUUCCUAUUCAUUUCACGAGGAGCUCUCGCUAUUACUUUACUAUAUGUACUGUAUUGUCUGCAGAAUAAACAAAUAAAUAUAAAAAAAAUGAAAUGAAUUCACUGUACAUUCGAUUAAAGGUUGCUGUAUAGAUGGCAUUGCUGACUAAUAUACUGUAUGGCACUGAGGACCAGCUGAUUGUGCUGCUCACUAAUACAUGCUGCUGAAGGCAUUUUGUAAAUUGCUGGAGGCAAUUUUAAUGUAUGUACUAAGUUCUUAAAUUUACUCGUGGUAGAAUUAAAGCUUAGUCCAUACAGGCUACAAGGUAACAUUCCAUAGUUUGAUUCUGAACUCAGGUUACUGUUUCCUCCAACCUCCCAAAAACAUGCUGGUAGGAUCCGGAGGCACAUAAGAUCCAGCUGAACAUGGCAGUAGCCAUCAGCAUCUUCCCAUCAGAGGUAGAGGCUGUUUGCACGCAUC